Stomoxys calcitrans (stable fly) is the source of this 377-nucleotide long non-coding RNA. RefSeq lists it as uncharacterized. The record is from RefSeq and is a predicted model, not a curated record. NCBI's taxonomy places the organism in Eukaryota, Metazoa, Arthropoda, Insecta, Diptera, Muscidae. The transcript is spliced from 2 exons.
UAGCAAGAAGAAUAGGUGACAUUUUAAAAAUUUCAUUUAAAACCGGAUUGCUGAAUUAUAGAAUUAUUUCCUUGCCCUCACAAUGUACAAAGUGUGUAUGUGCGGCUUUUGCGUUUUCACACAAUUUGCAACUUUGCUGUACAAUCAAAACGAUGCGGAAUGUAGUGUUGGCCCAUGUGGGUUUGUUUUGUCAUUCAGUGCAAGGUCACCUAUGUAUAUUAAAAAAAAAAUACCAAAGCAUAUAAUGAGUCGGUGUGAUUUUAUCCAUUUAUCUUAUUAUCUUGUUCAUAAAUGUUGCUGGAGUAAAACCUAAUUUGCUUCUAUGUAUUAUACACAUAUAAAAAAAUAAAUUCUUUCAAACGCUUUGAGAUAAUGGC